UUGGUUUUAUAUAUAUAUAAUCUUCGACUACCUUAUAUAUAUAGAAUAUUUUUUUUAAAAAAAAAAAAAUAAUUAAAUUUGUGCAUGCUCAUGAAUAUUUAUAUAUAUAUAUAUUUAUAUAAAUAUAGUAAGUAGUGAAUAUGGUAGUGGGUAGCAGGUGGAAUGUGCGAAGACAAAGUAAAAGAAUAUAUAUAAGGUAAACAACUUUAAAUAAUUUAGAUGAGGUGCCAAACAUUAAAAGUUUCCAACUACUAUACCUCCAAAUAUAAUAUAUAUCUUUAUAUAUUAAAAGUGCCUAUCUAACGGCAUUUAUUGGUUUAACAGAAUAUACCUAAAAAAUAAAAGAAUAUUCUGUUAAAUUUAACGAUGUUAAUAUGUUUGAUCUCCCGUUAACAAAUAAAUAAACCCAAUAAUUAAACCCAAAAAAUUAAAAAAUAUUUUUUUAAAUAAAAAAAAAAUCAUCUUAGCCACAUAUCUCUCUAACAAACUGUAUAUUCCCAAUUUAACAAUCUUUUUUUAAAUAAAUAAAAAAAAUCAUCUUACCCACAUAUCUCUUUAACAAACUGUAUAUUCCCAAUUUUUGAAAUUUUUUUUGUUAUUUUUAAAAUUUACACGAUUUAUUUUAUGGGUACAGGAACAAGUGAAGGAAUUCCUCGUGUGAGCUGCUUGACUAAUCCUCUGAAGACAUGCGAGGUAUGAAUGCUCAUCAUUUAGGCCUAUGUACUUUUUCUGCACUUUCUGCAAGUUCAAAUUGAUUCCUUAUAUUUCUUACAAAAUAAAACUGCAUCUGGGAAAAGCAUCCUCAUUCGAUAUGCCACAACAUCUGGGAAAAGCAACAUCCUUAUAGAUGCAGGAAAAUUCUUCUACCACAGUGCUCUUCGAUGGUUUCCAGCCUAUGGGUUAGUUAUUAUCUUGUUUAGUGAUUAUUUAUUAUUUCAUUUUAAUUUAGUGGUGUAAUUUUCUGCUGGUCACACUAUCUAUCUGAGGGUCACAAUAUAUGUAUAUGUAGUGGUUACAUUUAUGAAAUGUCAAAUUCGCAUUGUGCAAAUAGCAAAACUAUCAUUGACUGUCCUUUU
Cannabis sativa is the source of this 1076-nucleotide long non-coding RNA. RefSeq lists it as uncharacterized. The transcript is spliced from 2 exons. Lineage: Eukaryota; Viridiplantae; Streptophyta; Magnoliopsida; Rosales; Cannabaceae. The record is from RefSeq and is a predicted model, not a curated record.